GAUGAACGCUGGCGGCGUGCCUAAUACAUGCAAGUCGAGCGAACAGACGAGGAGCUUGCUCCUCUGACGUUAGCGGCGGACGGGUGAGUAACACGUGGAUAACCUACCUAUAAGACUGGGAUAACUUCGGGAAACCGGAGCUAAUACCGGAUAAUAUAUUGAACCGCAUGGUUCAAUAGUGAAAGACGGUUUUGCUGUCACUUAUAGAUGGAUCCGCGCCGCAUUAGCUAGUUGGUAAGGUAACGGCUUACCAAGGCAACGAUGCGUAGCCGACCUGAGAGGGUGAUCGGCCACACGGGAACUGAGACAAGGACCAGAGUCCUACGGGAGGCAGCAGUAGGGAAUAUUACGCAAUGGGCGAAAGCAUGACGGAGCAACGCCGCGUGAGUGAUGAAGGUCUUCGGAUCGUAAAACUCUGUUAUUAGGGAAGAACAAAUGUGUAAGUAACUAUGCACGUCUUGACGGUACCUAAUCAGAAAGCCACGGCUAACUACGUG
Molecule: ribosomal RNA, 497 nt
Filed under: uncultured bacterium
Lineage: Bacteria
Description: partial 16S ribosomal RNA
Rfam family: Bacterial small subunit ribosomal RNA
Source: RNAcentral